GUUAAGUCUUCCCUACCACAAAUAUCUCAAUUGUUGCUUCAAAACAGAAAAGGAGAAACCAACUUGAGUCAAUGAAUCUUACUGAAAAUCACCUUGUUUUCUCAGGAGGACCAUAUUUGAAGAGAUUCUGAGACCUCUCAGGGAGAUAUCACUGCUAUGACUUAGGAAAGAUGGCAAUAUAGGCUCAAAUUUACUUUCUGAUCCAAGACAAAUUUCAAAAUAGCUGGAGUCAAAUUGAGAGAUUUGAUUUUACAAGGGUUCAAAUGGUAACAGGUUUGGAGGAAAUGAAAAAUUCAUAGAAAAAGUUGGCUUCAACCACUCUUAGUUAAUUUUUUUUUUUUGGUGACAGGGUCUCCUGUUGUCAAAGUUGGUCUUUAACUCCUGGGCUCAAGCAAUCCUCUAUCUCAGGCUCCCAAUAGAUGGAACUAUAGGCUUGCACCAAUAGACCUGGCUCCCAGCCAUUCUUAAUUGUGUGGUGUUUGUUUUGUUUUGGUUUUUGAGUACUGGGGAUUGUACCCAGGGAUGUUCUACCACUGAACUACAUCCCCAGUCCUUUUUACUUUUUAAUUUUUUUGAGACAGGGUCUCAUUAAGUUGUCCCAUGGCCUUGUAUUUGUGUUCUUCCUGCUUCAGCCUUCCUGGCAGCUGGGAUUACUGACAUGUACCACCAGGUCCAGCUUCUUUAUUGUCUUUUGCAUUAUGGGAGACACCUGAGAAAAUGUCAAGUGUCAUUACAGAAAUAGCUGGAAAACAAAAGAGAAGCUAGGGGAAGGAAGUGUCAAUAUCUGAUUCACAUUUAGAGAUCCCUUUUUAAAGCUAUUAGAGAAGUAGACGAUAUAUAAUUAAUUACAUUCCCUAUAAAAUACUGUUCCUUAUAAAGUAGUGUUAAGUCAAACUAACUCUCUUAGAAAAAUUCUUACAAAGGUACAAAUAUCUACUUUUUAUUACACAGGUAGGGAUACAUUGUUAGAGUCUGUAAACAAGUCAGGAUGGUGCCUGGCAAAUGUUAGUCUGUAAACAAGUCUGGAUGGCGCCUGGCAAAAUGCCAGAGGGAGUGGUUUGUGAAGUAACGCCAGCAAGCCAUUAAGUGUGGAGAUUCCUUAUUGGUUGACUGCUGUAUCUAGUUUAUGUUAAUUAGAUAAGCUGUGUGGAAUGUAUAAAUACCUCUGUUGUCCUACAAUAAACGGAUCCCAUUCCUGCUGUAUCAAUCUACACAAGUUGUUCAUCACCCCCCGGCUAUUUUGCUGCAGCCAGACUGCGG
Molecule: long non-coding RNA, 1260 nt
Filed under: Marmota monax (woodchuck)
Lineage: Eukaryota; Metazoa; Chordata; Mammalia; Rodentia; Sciuridae
Source: RNAcentral